CAGGCAUGCUGGAGCCCCGCCAGCGGCGCCUGGGUCGAGCGAAAACCCGACACCGGACGGGGCAGAA
This is a regulatory RNA element of 67 nucleotides. It matches the Rfam family "ybhL leader". Rfam says of the family: This family is a putative regulatory RNA structure that is found upstream of an uncharacterized membrane protein in alpha-proteobacteria. The record is from Rfam.